GAUGAAGAACGUAGCGAAACGCGAUAAGUAAUGUGAAUUGCAGAAUUUAGUGAAUCAUCGAACUUUUGAACGCACAUUGCGCCCGGCGGCACUCCGCCGGGCAUGUCUGUCCGAGCGUCAUUAUACUGCCCUCGACCCUCCGGGUCGGUGUUGGGAGCCUCUGCGCCCGUACGCAGCUCCCCAAGUCCACUGGCGUCGCGCCACGGUGCCCCUGCGUAGUAAUCUCACCUCGCUUGGGACCCUGGGUGCCGGCUGCCCUUCUCUCUCGCAGCAGGCUCUCUCGAGUCGGCUCCAGCACAGUUGACCUCGGAUCAGGUAGGGUUACCCGCUGAACUUAAGCAUAUCAAUAAGCGGAGGA
This 358-nucleotide unclassified non-coding RNA is filed under the name soil metagenome. Its description in RNAcentral is "partial contains 5.8S ribosomal RNA, internal transcribed spacer 2, and large subunit ribosomal RNA". The stretch from base 1 to 120 matches the Rfam family "5.8S ribosomal RNA", at positions 35 to 154 of the family's 154-position model. The record is from RNAcentral.